GGGGGGGGGGGGGGGGGGGGGGGGGGGGGGGGGGGCGGGGGGGGGGGCCGGGCGGUGGGGGGGUGGGCGGGGGGCGGGCGGGGGAGUAACACGUGAGGAACCUGCCCUUGACUUUGGGAUGACUUCAGGGAACUGGGGCUAGUACGGGAUAGGAGCUCCUGCUGCAGGGUGGGGGUUGGAAAGUUUCGGCGGGUGGGGAUGGACUCGCGGCUUAUCAGCUUGUUGGUGGGGUAGUGGCUUACCAAGGCUUUGACGGGUAGCCGGCCUGAGAGGGUGACCGGCCACAUUGGGACUGAGAUACGGCCCAGACUCCUACGGGAGGCAGCAGUGGGGAAUAUUGCACAAUGGGCGGAAGCCUGAUGCAGCAACGCCGCGUGCGGGAUGACGGCCUUCGGGUUGUAAACCGCUUUCGCCUGUGACGAAGCGUGAGUGACGGUAAUGGGUAAAGAAGCACCGGCUAACUACGUG
Molecule: ribosomal RNA, 468 nt
Filed under: uncultured bacterium
Lineage: Bacteria
Description: partial 16S ribosomal RNA
Rfam family: Bacterial small subunit ribosomal RNA (bases 52-468)
Source: RNAcentral